GGCGCGCCACUGGAGGGCGUCCAUGGCGGGGAGGCGGAGGGAGGUCCAGGUGCGACGCCGGAGGGCGGCCAUGGCGGGGAGGCAUAGGGAGGUCCAGGUGCGACGGCCUCAGAUGCAAGUGCUCCGGCAUGGCUACAAGGGAUGGAUCCAAAUUCAACAUAUUUGCUGAAAAUCAAAUUGCUUGGCAACCCAAAAAAAGCUAGGAAGGAUAUCAAAUGCUUUUGUUAUGAUAAGGUUAUUGAUUCCGACUUAACAAAUUAUAAGGACUUGGUUGAAUCAAUCGUAGAGCAGUACUCGCCUCGCUAUUUGGAAGUUGCACAUGUUCAGUACUAUGAUCCUUUUCUUAAAAUCGACCCAGAAGUAACAUCUGACCAGGAAUUGGUGUCUAUGUUUGAGAAACUCUCUAAGACAAAGGUUGUGCACUUGUUUGUUGCAUAUUGUGAUCCAUCUGAACCA
Non-coding RNA from Aegilops tauschii subsp. strangulata, 456 nucleotides. Lineage: Eukaryota; Viridiplantae; Streptophyta; Magnoliopsida; Poales; Poaceae. The record is from RefSeq and is a predicted model, not a curated record.